AUUGAACGCUGGCGGCAGGCCUAACACAUGCAAGUCGAGCGGAUGAAGGGAGCUUGCUCCUGGAUUCAGCGGCGGACGGGUGAGUAAUGCCUAGGAAUCUGCCUGGUAGUGGGGGAUAACGUCCGGAAACGGGCGCUAAUACCGCAUACGUCCUGAGGGAGAAAGUGGGGGAUCUUCGGACCUCACGCUAUCAGAUGAGCCUAGGUCGGAUUAGCUAGUUGGUGGGGUAAAGGCCUACCAAGGCGACGAUCCGUAACUGGUCUGAGAGGAUGAUCAGUCACAAACGAGUAGAGACACGCUCCAUAAUACUACGGAUGGCCGUAGUGGGAAAGAGUCGACGAGGCGACAACGCCGGAUCACGCCAGGCCGCGUGUUUGAAGAAGGUUGUCGUAUGUUAAAGCACUUUAAUUUGGGAGAAAGGGCAGUAAGUUAGUACUUUGUUUGUUUCACGCACCCAACAGAAGAACCACCGGCUACCUUCGUGACAGCGGCGGCGAUAAUACG
RNAcentral lists this ribosomal RNA (504 nucleotides) under uncultured bacterium. RNAcentral describes it as "partial 16S ribosomal RNA". It matches the Rfam family "Bacterial small subunit ribosomal RNA", at positions 30 to 527 of the family's 1533-position model. The record is from RNAcentral.